GGCUCUGUGGUCCAACGGAACGACAUCAGUGGACACUGGAAACUGUUCCAAGCUGAAGAUAGCGGGUUCGACUCCCGCCAGGGCAA
This is a non-coding RNA of Mycena filopes, 86 nucleotides long. NCBI's taxonomy places the organism in Eukaryota, Fungi, Basidiomycota, Agaricomycetes, Agaricales, Mycenaceae. The record is from the annotation of a GenBank genome assembly.